RNAcentral lists this ribosomal RNA (450 nucleotides) under uncultured bacterium. RNAcentral describes it as "bacterial SSU rRNA". It matches the Rfam family "Bacterial small subunit ribosomal RNA", at positions 329 to 793 of the family's 1533-position model. The record is from RNAcentral.
GGCCAGACUCCUACGGGAGGCAGCAGUGGGGAAUAUUGGGCAAUGGGCGCAAGCCUGACCCAGCAACGCCGCGUGAAGGAAGAAGGCUUUCGGGUUGUAAACUUCUUUUCUCAGGGACGAAUAGAUGACGGUACCUGAGGAAUAAGCCACGGCUAACUACGUGCCAGCAGCCGCGGUAAUACGUAGGUGGCAAGCGUUAUCCGGAUUUACUGGGUGUAAAGGGCGUGUAGGCGGGGACGCAAGUCAGAUGUGAAAACCACGGGCUCAACCUGUGGCCUGCAUUUGAAACUGUGUUUCUUGAGUACUGGAGAGGCAGACGGAAUUCCUAGUGUAGCGGUGAAAUGCGUAGAUAUUAGGAGGAACACCAGUGGCGAAGGCGGGCUGCUGGACAGCAACUGACGCUGAGGCGCGAAAGCGUGGGGAGCAAACAGGAUUAGAUACCCGUGUAAG